This 424-nucleotide unclassified non-coding RNA is filed under the name uncultured Agaricales. RNAcentral describes it as "sequence contains ITS2". The stretch from base 1 to 154 matches the Rfam family "5.8S ribosomal RNA". The record is from RNAcentral. Lineage: Eukaryota; Fungi; Basidiomycota; Agaricomycetes; Agaricales.
AACUUUCGGCAACGGAUCUCUUGGUUCUCGCAUCGAUGAAGAACGCAGCGAAAUGCGAUAAGUAAUGUGAAUUGCAGAAUUCAGUGAAUCAUAGAAUCUUUGAACGCACCUUGCGCUCCUUGGUAUUCCGAGGAGCAUGCCUGUUUGAGUGUCCUUUAAUUCCCAACCUUCCAGCUUUUAUUAGCUUGGUUAGGCUUGGAUGUGGGGGUUGUGGGCUUCAUUAAUGAGGUCAGCUCUCCUUAAAUGCAUUAGCGGAACUUUUGUGGACUGUCUAUUGGUGUGAUAAUUAUCUACGCCGUGGAUGUGAAGCAGUUUUAUGAAGUUCAGCUUCUAAUCGUCCAUUGACUUGGACAAUUUUUGACAAUUUGACCUCAAAUCAGGUAGGACUACCCGCUGAACUUAAGCAUAUCAAUAAGCGGAGGCU